GGGGUACACGAGCGGCGAACGGGUGAGUAACACGUGAGCAACCUGCCCCUGACUCCGGGAUAAGCGGUGGAAACGCCGUCUAAUACCGGAUACGACCCGGCGUCUCAUGACGGUGGGUGGAAAGUUUUUCGGUCGGGGAUGGGCUCGCGGCCUAUCAGCUUGUUGGUGGGGUAACGGCCUACCAAGGCGAUUACGGGUAGCCGGCCUGAGAGGGCGACCGGCCACACUGGGACUGAGACACGGCCCAGACUCCUGCGGGAGGCAGCAGUGGGGAAUAUUGCGCAAUGGGCGAAAGCCUGACGCAGCGACGCCGCGUGGGGGAUGACGGCCUUCGGGUUGUAAACCUCUUUUACCACCAACGCAGGCCCGGGGUUCUCUCCGGGUUGACGGUAGGUGGGGAAUAAGGACCGGCUAACUACGUGCCAGCAGCCGCGGUAAUACGUAGGGUCCGAGCGUUGUCCGGAAUUAUUGGGCGUAAAGAGCUCGUAGGCGGCGUGUCGCGUCUGCUGUGAAAGACCGGGGCUUAACUCCGGUUCUGCAGUGGAUACGGGCAUGCUAGAGGUAGGUAGGGGAGACUGGAAUUCCUGGUGUAGCGGUGAAAUGCGCAGAUAUCAGGAGGAACACCGGUGGCGAAGGCGGGUCUCUGGGCCUUACCUGACGCUGAGGAGCGAAAGCAUGGGGAGCGAACAGGAUUAGAUACCCUGGUAGUCCAUGCCGUAAACGUUGGGCGCUAGGUGUGGGGACUUUCCACGGUUUCCGCGCCGUAGCUAACGCAUUAAGCGCCCCGCCUGGGGAGUACG
This 800-nucleotide ribosomal RNA is filed under the name Nocardiopsis sp. 41598. RNAcentral describes it as "bacterial SSU rRNA". It matches the Rfam family "Bacterial small subunit ribosomal RNA", at positions 84 to 884 of the family's 1533-position model. Lineage: Bacteria; Bacillati; Actinomycetota; Actinomycetes; Streptosporangiales; Nocardiopsidaceae. The record is from RNAcentral.